This 322-nucleotide small nuclear RNA is filed under the name Pteropus alecto (black flying fox). RNAcentral's name for it is "7SK RNA". It matches the Rfam family "7SK RNA". From Rfam's summary of the family: 7SK was discovered as an abundant small nuclear RNA in the mid-70s but a possible function has only recently been suggested. Two independent studies have found that 7SK RNA binds the CDK9/cyclin T complex (known as elongation factor P-TEFb). Lineage: Eukaryota; Metazoa; Chordata; Mammalia; Chiroptera; Pteropodidae. The record is from Rfam by way of RNAcentral.
UGAUUAACUUCAAAUACACUACAGCAUCUGUUCACCCCAUUGAUCGCCAGGGUUGAUUUGGCUGAUCUGGCUGGCUAGGCAAGUAUCCCCUUCCUCCCUCACUGCUCCAAGUGCGUCCCUCCCGAAGCUGCGCGGGAGCUAUGUAGGUCAAAGAGGACAACCUUUCCCGACAGAGGAGAGGACCAUUCUUUGAUCAAGGGUAUAGAGUAGCCGCGCUCCCCUGCUAGAACCUCCAAACAAGCUCUCAAAUACACUACAGAAUAUCUUGUCAGCUUUAUAUAUACUGUUUCAAUAAAGAUAAGCUUAAGUACUAUGUGCCCUU